RNAcentral lists this ribosomal RNA (292 nucleotides) under uncultured bacterium. Its description in RNAcentral is "partial 16S ribosomal RNA". It matches the Rfam family "Bacterial small subunit ribosomal RNA", at positions 775 to 1066 of the family's 1533-position model. The record is from RNAcentral.
GGAUUAGAUACCCUGGUAGUCCACGCCGUAAACGAUGUCUACUUGAAGGUUGUGAUCUUGAAUCGUGGCUUUCGGAGCUAACGCGUUAAGUAGACCGCCUGGGGAGUACGGUCGCAAGAUUAAAACUCAAAUGAAUUGACGGGGGCCCGCACAAGCGGUGGAGCAUGUGGUUUAAUUCGAUGCAACGCGAAGAACCUUACCUACUCUUGACAUCCAGAGAACCUUUUAGAGAUAGAAGGGUGCCUUCGGGAACUCUGAGACAGGUGCUGCAUGGCUGUCGUCAGCUCGUGCC